This 896-nucleotide ribosomal RNA is filed under the name Lactiplantibacillus plantarum. RNAcentral describes it as "bacterial SSU rRNA". It matches the Rfam family "Bacterial small subunit ribosomal RNA", at positions 1 to 867 of the family's 1533-position model. Lineage: Bacteria; Bacillati; Bacillota; Bacilli; Lactobacillales; Lactobacillaceae. The record is from RNAcentral.
AGGAGUUUUGGUUUUUGCUCAGGACGAACGCUGGCGGCGUGCUAAUACAUGCAAGUCGAACGAACUCUGGUAUUGAUUGGUGCUUGCAUCAUGAUUUACAUUUGAGUGAGUGGCGAACUGGUGAGUAACACGUGGGAAACCUGCCCAGAAGCGGGGGAUAACACCUGGAAACAGAUGCUAAUACCGCAUAACAACUUGGACCGCAUGGUCCGAGCUUGAAAGAUGGCUUCGGCUAUCACUUUUGGAUGGUCCCGCGGCGUAUUAGCUAGAUGGUGAGGUAACGGCUCACCAUGGCAAUGAUACGUAGCCGACCUGAGAGGGUAAUCGGCCACAUUGGGACUGAGACACGGCCCAAACUCCUACGGGAGGCAGCAGUAGGGAAUCUUCCACAAUGGACGAAAGUCUGAUGGAGCAACGCCGCGUGAGUGAAGAAGGGUUUCGGCUCGUAAAACUCUGUUGUUAAAGAAGAACAUAUCUGAGAGUAACUGUUCAGGUAUUGACGGUAUUUAACCAGAAAGCCACGGCUAACUACGUGCCAGCAGCCGCGGUAAUACGUAGGUGGCAAGCGUUGUCCGGAUUUAUUGGGCGUAAAGCGAGCGCAGGCGGUUUUUUAAGUCUGAUGUGAAAGCCUUCGGCUCAACCGAAGAAGUGCAUCGGAAACUGGGAAACUUGAGUGCAGAAGAGGACAGUGGAACUCCAUGUGUAGCGGUGAAAUGCGUAGAUAUAUGGAAGAACACCAGUGGCGAAGGCGGCUGUCUGGUCUGUAACUGACGCUGAGGCUCGAAAGUAUGGGUAGCAAACAGGAUUAGAUACCCUGGUAGUCCAUACCGUAAACGAUGAAUGCUAAGUGUUGGAGGGUUUCCGCCCUUCAGUGCUGCAGCUAACGCAUUAAGCAU